RNAcentral lists this ribosomal RNA (429 nucleotides) under uncultured bacterium. RNAcentral describes it as "partial 16S ribosomal RNA". It matches the Rfam family "Bacterial small subunit ribosomal RNA", at positions 29 to 504 of the family's 1533-position model. The record is from RNAcentral.
ACGAACGCUGGCGGCAUGCCUCACACAUGCAAGUCGAACGAGACCUUCGGGUCUAGUGGCGCACGGGUGCGUAACGCGUGGGAACCUGCCCUUAGGUUCGGAAUAACUCCCCGAAAGGGGUGCUAAUACCGGAUAAUGUCUUCGGACCAAAGAUUUAUCGCCUUUGGAUGGGCCCGCGUUGGAUUAGCUAGUUGGUAGGGUAAAAGCCUACCAAGGCGACGAUCCAUAGCUGGUCUGAGAGGAUGAUCAGCCACACUGGGACUGAGACACGGCCCAGACUCCUACGGGAGGCAGCAGUGGGGAAUAUUGGACAAUGGGCGAAAGCCUGAUCCAGCAAUGCCGCGUGAGUGAUGAAGGCCUUAGGGUUGUAAAGCUCUUUUACCCGGGAUGAUAAUGACAGUACCGGGAGAAUAAGCUCCGGCUAACUCC